This 371-nucleotide ribosomal RNA is filed under the name uncultured bacterium. RNAcentral describes it as "bacterial SSU rRNA". It matches the Rfam family "Bacterial small subunit ribosomal RNA", at positions 527 to 896 of the family's 1533-position model. The record is from RNAcentral.
GAAGGUGGCAAGCGUUACUCGGAAUUACUAGGCGUAAAGGGCAGGUAGGUGGUUUGGUAAGUCUGUUGUGGAAGCUCCCGGCUUAACUGGGAGAGGUCAACGGAAACUGCCAGGCUUGAGUAUAGGAGAGGUUACUGGAAUUCCCGGUGUAGCGGUGAAAUGCGCAGAUAUCGGGAGGAACACCAAUGGCGAAAGCAGGUAACUGGACUAUUACUGACACUAAGCUGCGAAAGCUAGGGGAGCAAACAGGAUUAGAUACCCUGGUAGUCCUAGCUGUAAACGAUGCACAUUAGACGUGAGGGGUAUCGACCCCCUUCGUGUCGACGCAAACGCAUUAAAUGUGCCGCCUGGGGAGUACGGCCGCAAGGUUG